CGAAAUCCCAAUUUUGUCCAAGCAGUCACAACCAACCAAACACUUUUAAAAAAAGUCAACAAGGGCAAUCUCGUCAUCACCCACCAAAACCCCUCUCCAAAACCCAGCCACUCUUAUACAAUCACAAAAAGCCACAAACCCAUUAAUUUCCAUUUCAUUUCCUUAUUAUUUUUCCCUUUCCAUCACACAAUUUCCAUUUCAUGCAAUCGCAAACUAACUCAAUACAAAACCCAAAUUUCCACACUCACUCUCUUCACUCUCUUCACUCUCUCUCAUGCGAUUUCUCUUUCUCUCUCAUGCGAUUUCUCUUCAACACGAUCAAAACCUACCACUCGGGUUUUAUGUUCACCUUGCUGUCACGGUCUAACUUAA
Vicia faba (fava bean) is the source of this 372-nucleotide non-coding RNA. Lineage: Eukaryota; Viridiplantae; Streptophyta; Magnoliopsida; Fabales; Fabaceae. The record is from the annotation of a GenBank genome assembly.